RNAcentral lists this ribosomal RNA (373 nucleotides) under uncultured bacterium. RNAcentral's name for it is "bacterial SSU rRNA". It matches the Rfam family "Bacterial small subunit ribosomal RNA", at positions 523 to 898 of the family's 1533-position model. The record is from RNAcentral.
AUACGUAGGGGGCAAGCGUUGUCCGGAAUCACUGGGCGUAAAGCGCAUGUAGGCGGGAUAUUAAGUCAGGUGUGAAAACUAUGGGCUCAACCUGUAGAUUGCAUCUGAAACUGAUAUUCUUGAGUAUUGGAGAGGAAAGUGGAAUUCCUAGUGUAGCGGUGAAAUGCGUAGAUAUUAGGAGGAACACCAGUGGCGAAGGCGACUUUCUGGCCAAAAACUGACGCUGAGAUGCGAAAGCGUGGGGAGCAAACAGGAUUAGAUACCCUGGUAGUCCACGCCGUAAACGAUGGGUACUAGGUGUUGGGUGUCAAAGCUCAGUGCCGCAGUUAACACAAUAAGUACCCCGCCUGGGGAGUACGGUCGCAAGACUGAA